This 774-nucleotide ribosomal RNA is filed under the name uncultured Neocallimastigales. RNAcentral's name for it is "partial large subunit ribosomal RNA". It matches the Rfam family "Eukaryotic large subunit ribosomal RNA", at positions 24 to 614 of the family's 3401-position model. Lineage: Eukaryota; Fungi; Neocallimastigomycota; Neocallimastigomycetes; Neocallimastigales. The record is from RNAcentral.
UAUCUCUGUAGAGUCUGCAUAUCAAUAAGCGGAGGAAAAGAAACUAACUAGGAUUCCCUCAGUAACGGCGAGUGAAGCGGGAAGAGCUCAAAUUUGAAAUCUUCAAGGUUUUACCUUGACGAAUUGUAGUUUAAAGAAGUGUUUUCUGUUGGAGUUUUGGUAAAAGUUCUUUGGAAUAGGACAUCAUAGAGGGUGAGAAUCCCGUAUUUGACCAUUAUUUCCAGCUUUGUGAUACACUUUCAAAGAGUCGGAUUGUUUGGGAAUGCAGUCCAAAAUGGGUGGUAAAUUUCAUCUAAAGCUAAAUACUGGCGAGAGACCGAUAGCGAACAAGUACCGUGAGGGAAAGAUGAAAAGAACUUUGAAAAGAGAGUUAAACAGUACGUGAAAUUGUCAAAAGGGAAGCGUUUGACACCAGUGUUGUUUUCUCGAAAAUCAAUUAAAAAUGGCGGGAUUUUGUGUUGUAUUGACUUUAUCAGCUUUCUGCACUUUUUUCCUGUCUUUUUUAAUGCACUUUUCGUUUAACAAGUCAACAUCAAUUUCUUUUGUUGUAAAAGGGUCAUUGGAAGGUGGCUUUCUUUUCGGAGAAAGUGUUUAUAGCCUUUGGCCUCUGCAAUCGGAGGGAUUGAGGUCUGCAGCGUAGAUCCUUCGGGGUUAGAUACAUUUGUGCUAAGUUAUAGCCUUUCAUAGACAACUUGUUGACUAUGAUCAGUCAUGUAGCUUACUCGCUUUUGAAAUUUUACCUACGCUUAGGAUGUUGAGUCAUCACACAUCUCU